CCUACGGGUGGCAGCAGUGAGGAAUAUUGGUCAAUGGGCGGGAGACUGAACCAGCCAAGUAGCGUGAAGGAUGACUGCACUGCGGGUUGUAAACUUCUUUUAUAAAGGAAUAAAGUGAGGCACGUGUGCCUUUUUGUAUGUACUUUAUGAAUAAGGAUCGGCUAACUCCGUGCCAGCAGCCGCGGUAAUACGGAGGAUCCGAGCGUUAUCCGGAUUUAUUGGGUUUAAAGGGAGCGUAGAUGGGUUGGUAAGUCAGUUGUGAAAGUUUGCGGCUCAACCGUAAAAUUGCCAUUGAUACUGGCAGUCUUGAGUACAGUUGAGGUAGGCGGAAUUCGUGGUGUAGCGGUGAAAUGCUUAGAUAUCACGCAGAACUCCGAUUGCGAAGGCAGCUUACUAAACUGCCACUGACAUUGAUGCUCGAAAGUGUGGGUAUCAAACAGGAUUAGAUACCCCUGUAGUC
Molecule: ribosomal RNA, 460 nt
Filed under: uncultured bacterium
Lineage: Bacteria
Description: partial 16S ribosomal RNA
Rfam family: Bacterial small subunit ribosomal RNA
Source: RNAcentral